AGCAGCAUGGCGCAGUUGGAAGCGCGCGGGGCCCAUAUCCGUGUGCCACCCCGAGGUCACUUGAUCGAAACAAGUUGCUGCUA
Non-coding RNA from Termitomyces sp. T159_Od127, 83 nucleotides. The record is from the annotation of a GenBank genome assembly. Lineage: Eukaryota; Fungi; Basidiomycota; Agaricomycetes; Agaricales; Lyophyllaceae.